GUCAGAUGCUAUAAUUUAUAUUAUUCCGCUGAGCUCUAUAUAUGUCAACUGUUGAAGCACUAUGCAUAAAAAACACAUUAACUGAUCAAAUUGGUCUUGGCCAUCUUAUCUCAAAGCACGAAAUGUUCUGUUUUGAGAAAACAGUAUUUAAAACAUUUAAACUUUUGCUUGAAUAUCUUAUAUUUCGAAAAACAGUAUAACUGUACGGUCUAAAUUUAGUUUGCACGGUCUAAAUUUAGUUUGCACGAAAGUUGUAAACAACACCAUAUAAGGAUAGACAUUCCAUAUUUGGAAAAACGAACGUUACGGG
Non-coding RNA from Paramuricea clavata, 310 nucleotides. The record is from the annotation of a GenBank genome assembly. Lineage: Eukaryota; Metazoa; Cnidaria; Anthozoa; Malacalcyonacea; Plexauridae.